RNAcentral lists this transfer RNA (72 nucleotides) under Muribaculaceae bacterium. RNAcentral's name for it is "tRNA-Phe". It matches the Rfam family "tRNA". From Rfam's summary of the family: Transfer RNA (tRNA) molecules are approximately 80 nucleotides in length. Lineage: Bacteria; Pseudomonadati; Bacteroidota; Bacteroidia; Bacteroidales; Muribaculaceae. RNAcentral also lists the same sequence under 1 other name. The record is from RNAcentral.
GGUACCUUAGCUCAGCGGUAGAGCAGUGGACUGAAAAUCCGCGUGUCCCUGGUUCGAUUCCCGGAGGUACCA